Molecule: small RNA, 148 nt
Filed under: Pongo abelii (Sumatran orangutan)
Lineage: Eukaryota; Metazoa; Chordata; Mammalia; Primates; Hominidae
Description: Metazoan signal recognition particle RNA (ENSPPYG00000030254.1)
Source: Rfam by way of RNAcentral
GCCGGGCAUGGUGGCGGGUGCCUGUAGUCCCCGCUACUUGGGAGGCUGAGGCAGAAGAAUCGCUUGAACCCGGGAGGCAGAGGUUGCAGUGAGCCGAGAUCACGCCACUGCACUCCAGCCUGGGCGACAGAGUGAGACUCUGUCUCAA